Molecule: unclassified non-coding RNA, 486 nt
Filed under: Artemisia sacrorum
Lineage: Eukaryota; Viridiplantae; Streptophyta; Magnoliopsida; Asterales; Asteraceae
Description: partial external transcribed spacer
Rfam family: Eukaryotic small subunit ribosomal RNA (bases 431-486)
Source: RNAcentral
GUCCGUAAAGGUGGAUGAGUGGUGUUUGGUUUGUUACGUGUGGUUGGCUGCGGCGUUUGCAACAACUUCCAUGCUUUCAGACCUCUUCAGUUGUGCGGCAAGGCUUGUAUCGCCUUGAGCGUAUWGUGGGUUUUCUGUGUUGGCUACCUAAUCAACGGUAUCGGUUGGAUUGAUCAAAGUUUGAUUUCGUCUUCCGUCRCAUUCGYGGCGUGAGGUGAACCUCGAUGCGGUCUCUUUGAUCCACCUCGUCGAAGCACAUGCUUUGACGUUGUGGCGCAUUGAGCAUUGCUUGGUCUCUUGUAUACGGAACAUAUAGUGGGCAUGGAUCUAACGAUUCUCGUUUGCCCUCAUAUUAGCGUAACGCUUCUCUUACACGACUUGCUCCACGUUUUAGCUCGUACGGACGUGGUGCUAUGUCGAAGAGGAAUGCUACCUGGUUGAUCCUGCCAGUAGUCAUAUGCUUGUCUCAAAGAUUAAGCCAUGCAG